UGAAAUGAAGGGAUUGGAACCAUAUGAUUGCAAAGAUUCUGAUCAGUAAUAGCAGCAUUCUAUGAUCCUACUGACAAAUCUAAGUUCUGCACCAUUUUUAUGGGUGAAGAGUGAGACAGGAAUCACUUUCACCACCUUCUACAGUCCUCUGCUCUGUCUAAUCACUUUGUGAAGUUGUCCAGUCUUGCGCUCACCUCCUUGCUAUCUCCUGCCCCGAUGUUUUCACCUUCUGCCUGGAGCAAUGUGGGGAGAAUGUAAUGAACACAGAUGAAGUAGGGAAAGGAGAUCUAGGGAAGCAUCUCUAGCAGGAGAUUAGAGAACUAGUGUGUUCCUCAUGCCUGAUGGUUCACACAACAGGUUAAAGGAAGCAUGAAGGUGAGCUAGACCACUGUGAUUAGAUAAAGAAAGCAGACUCAGUGGCCUCUACACCUGCUUUUGCAUAACGUGAGACAGACCCAGAUGCACAGAGAGCUCUGAAAUGUCAUGAAGGAAGCAGAUGAAGAAGACAGUACAGGACAGAGCCCUUUUCAGAGCAACGUGAUUAAUAGCUCACUUUCAAGAACAGCAUGCAGGGUGCAUGCUUGCCCACAUGACAAAAGAUACUCAGAUACAAGCCCACAUGACAAAAGAUACUCAGAUCCAAGCACUCGCGAACUUCCAGUGUCGGGUGGUAGGAGACUACUCAUCAUUCCUCCCUCUGCUGGCGAUUUCAUGAAUAAGCCAGGUGGACCAGCCUGUGUGAAAUGCCUAAAUGCAUAGAGACGCCAGGCUCCCAGCUAACCAUUGAGAGGGAAAUGUGGGAAAUUACAUUACAUAUCAGAGUACAGUCUGAACAGUUUCACCAUAGAAUGUAUCAUAGAAAGUAGUCUGAAAGCUCUUACCAAAGUGAUUUUGUCAUUUAUAAUAUGGUGUUCAGUAAUUUUUUUAUUUUGUAAUAAACUCUUCAGCUGCAAUGAUCUUUUUAAAAGUGCCUAUUAAUAAAAAAUUAAGUAUUGAAUUUCUACGUCUCAAGAACAUUUGUUAAGACUUACUUACCAUCCACCAUGAGGGCCAUCGUGAUAUCACUGACCACAUGAAAACCUGAAGACAAACCUAAGAAGCAUCCUCAUCUACUUCAAAAGUUAAUUAUUUUAAGACGACUAUGCCCAGAGAUGAAGAUUUAGCACUUUCAGCUGCAGAACAUGUG
RNAcentral lists this long non-coding RNA (1186 nucleotides) under Homo sapiens (human). RNAcentral's name for it is "HSALNT0368605". Lineage: Eukaryota; Metazoa; Chordata; Mammalia; Primates; Hominidae. The record is from RNAcentral.